Molecule: long non-coding RNA, 715 nt
Organism: Topomyia yanbarensis
Lineage: Eukaryota; Metazoa; Arthropoda; Insecta; Diptera; Culicidae
Exons: 3
Source: RefSeq, a predicted model, not a curated record
UUCAUGAUGAAACGGUGUCAUGACAAUAAAUGUAUAUGCAUGCGCAGCUAGUGUGAAUUAUUUGUAUGACGAUGCACUACAAUAUACACAGGAUGUGUAUUAGUUGCGCACGCUAAAAUUACAAGAAAAAGGAAGCCGGAGGAGGUGAACGACGACGUUACGAUAGGUUUUCGCUCCCUCCGUUCCCGGAACAGUUGAAGAUUGAUGGCCAUUUCGCAGUUGUUUCGGGAGAGGAUGAAUCGCUAUUAAGCCACGGUUUUAGUGGAUAUCUGUCCGGAGUGUUUUGCAGUUCUAGCCUAGCCGUGAUCAUCGAUGUAUAUCUGGAAAAGGUGAAGUCGUUUUUGAAUAGAAUAAAUUCUAGAAUGACCGAUAGUGGCCAAAGUUUGAUGUAGACACUUAGAAUUAUAUCCGUAUUAAAUACUUUACAGAUCGCUUGUUCGCAUGUUUCAACAAGUUUAUGAUAUGACGAACCGGAAGGUUUUUUCCGGCAAGCUAUGAAAACUCAACACCGUUCCUAAUGCAUGGAAAUGAUCGAAUUCUUACUGAUUGCUUUCCAAAAAGCCGCCAAAAGGUGACUGCUCAUCACGCAGAAUUGGUGCGUGUAUUUGCACAACUUCGGAAAGGCUGACAAUCCUGAUACUCAUCGGGUAUCUGUAAGAGGAAUAAAAAAAAUUAAUACUCUUACUUGUAAAAUACAAUUCCAAAAACAAAGUGU